This 346-nucleotide unclassified non-coding RNA is filed under the name soil metagenome. Its description in RNAcentral is "partial contains 5.8S ribosomal RNA, internal transcribed spacer 2, and large subunit ribosomal RNA". The stretch from base 1 to 119 matches the Rfam family "5.8S ribosomal RNA", at positions 35 to 154 of the family's 154-position model. The record is from RNAcentral.
GAUGAAGAACGUAGCGAAAUGCGAUAAGUAAUGCGAAUUGCAGAAUCCGUGAGUCAUCGAAUCUUUGAACGCACAUUGCGCCCGCUGGUAUUCCGGCGGGCAUGCCUGUUCGAGCGUCAUUUCAACCCUCAAGCCCCCCGGGUUUGGUGUUGGGGAUCGGCUCUGCCUCACGGCGGUGCCGCCCCCGAAAUACAUUGGCGGUCUCGCUGCAGCCUCCAUUGCGUAGUAGCUAACACCUCGCAACUGGAACGCGGCGCGGCCAUGCCGUAAAACCCCAACUUCUGAAUGUUGACCUCGGAUCAGGUAGGAAUACCCGCUGAACUUAAGCAUAUCAAUAAGCGGAGGA